CCGCCUUAUCUGCUCUUUUCUUCUCCACCUUAGCCAUCUUCUUCUUAAACUAAAUCUAAAGACACCCCCCGUCAUGCAAGUUACCUUUUCUUAUCCAGUAGCUCUAGAAUUGGGUGAGCCCUUUUGCAAUAAAAAGAUGUGGGGAUAUAGAAUAAUCGAUGUGAUUCAUUUAAUUUGUUUAUGACAGUGUACCGAUUACAUUUGUUCGUUGUAAUAAAGUUGUCUUUGCAUUGGAAGAUUCAUACACCGAUAAGGUAAGUAGGAGACAGCCUUGGUUGGACCAUCCUCGAUCCUGCCAGUCCUGUCACAUUUUAUGACCAGAAGUUAUGGAUAUAUAGCCUCCUUCACAUCAUAUGGAUCGCAAUAAGUGGUAGUUGAAGUAUAUAAUUUAGUAUGAUUAAUUCAUUUACACGAAAUAGGUUCAUGUAAAAAAUAGACAAAAUGUUUAAGCUGUUGCGUGUGUGUGCAAGUCUACUGCGACAGAUCAAAAAAAAUUGACAGAAGAGUCAUUCUUGAACAUUUCACAUCAGACAUCUGUUUCUUUUGAUGCCUAUGCGGAGAAAGCAGUCUUCCUAAAGUCUAAAAGAAAGCCCGGACUAGAUUCAUCUUUGUUAAUUUAGAAAUUAUUUAUUCAACUACGUUAAUUUGAGAAAUAUUUUCCCCACUGUUCUAAAAUGGGAAAAAACUCGGAAACCUCACCUUUCCAAAUUUUUUCCCACCUGAUGUUGUGCCUGGCCUGCAACCCCCAGAACCUGAGAGACUUCUACGCAUAGCUUUCAGAACUGGCGGUUCCAGUUUCUGAUGUUUGCCUCCAAAUUCUGACCGUCACCCUCUGAGGACCACUUAUCCGGACAGGACUCAGAGGGAUCCCUAUUGCUUGUACUGGGAAAAAAACAGAAUUCCUUGUUUCUACGUUGAGAAAAAUAACAAUAGCGUAGGCAUGAAACCCAUACUUAUUAACUGAAAUUCCAGCGCAGAUCAAGAGCCUCCUCGCUUGCAAUUUGAUUUUUCGCUCAGAUGCAAUUCAAAUUUCAUGCGCUCCAAAAUAUUAUUAUUAAACAUAACCUCAUGGAUUCACCCGUUAAUUUGAAGUCUCUGACUACGUAAGUUGAGAUGUAUUUUGAAUUGUUAUUGAUAUUGACCUGAUCAAACUUUUCAGUUGUAUUUUAAAUUAUUAUUUAUAUUGAUAUGAACAAACCCAUGUAAUUUAAUAGGUUAACUUAUGAUUUGGUUAACCCUUUUAAAUAUCAUCCAAGCUUAGUCUAAAUUUGACAAUGUCAAAACUAAUGAAUGUUUUUUUAAAAAAAAAUAUUGAAACAAUGUCGUUCUAAAAUAAAAUAAUAUAUUUGGAUUAACCUAUCAAUCUAGCAAUUAGAACCCGCAACCUGGUUGAUCCAACUAAACCCGAUCAAGUUGCGACAAAAAUGAAAAUAAUGAACGUAUUUUGUAUCCAAAGUCAGGGUAGAAAUCUCAAUAUGAAAUUGUGUCGAUAAGGAAUCAAGAGAUAAUAAGGAAUAAUGACUGAUUGGGCAAUCCCAAUUCAGUAUGUUAAAUGAAUUGAACAGGACAAGAAUAUAUUCUGUGAUAAUGAAGGUCAAAUAUCAUGGAAAGAUCAAAGAUCAUUACAUUACAAGAGCAAAGAUCAUUACAUUACACUUUAUACUAAAAAGCAUAAGUCUUUCAUUAUGUAAAUUCACAAUGCAAGACUGAUUUUACCCCUUGGUGGGCAAAGUAGCAUGCCUCGGGUUUAGGGGUAUCGUGGUAUUUUUCAUGAAACACAUUGGCCAUUAAUUGAAAAGGAAGGGGUUAGACAAUAUUUUUAUACUUUCUUUGCACAAUGUGAUUACUUAAUUGCCCUUAAAAAACAAAAAAAAUAAUUCAGUUGGGUUGAGUGGUUUUUUAGUUUUUGACUUUAUUUUUAAACAAGUUACUUCAUUACCCUUGAAAAUUAAAAACAAUUAUCUUUGGCUUAGGGGUUUUUUUUGUCAUUAACAUGUGGUCAUUUAUUAGUUAUUGGAUGUUCUUAGUAAGGUAAUUUGAUAAAUAAGAUCAUUAAAAAAAGAAUAAGAAUCUGGUUAGCAGUGUCAGUCACCUUCUAACAGUGUGUGUGACGUCGUCCGGUGAUCAAAACCAUGAUUAUAAGGUGACUUUUAAAGUGUCUCAGCUUCCCCUCCACAGAUCAGCGGUGGAUGUAGCACUAUUGUGAUCAUGUGGCAUAAAUAUCCUUUUAAUUUUUUCCUCUCUUAUACUCGAUUUUUUUCAAUAUUCUCUUUAUUAUAAUUUUAAAAAUUUAGAAUACUUUAUUAAAUGAAUGAUUUUUUAUUUAUUUAAUCCCUGUUCUUUUUGUUGUAAUUUUUUUUAUUGAGAAUAGUUUAUUAAAUUAAUAAUUGUUUUCAAUUUCAUCCCUAAUCAAUAUUUUUAUCUAACAAAUUUAGUUUUCAUUCUUUUAAUUACUAUUUUUUUAAUUUUAUAUGGUUUUUUAAAUUAUUUUUUUCUAGUUUCUUCUUUCUUUAGCUUUUUUACCUAUCAAAUAUAAUAUUUUAUUAUUAUUGUGUUUUUUUGACCUUGCGAGAAUUUUUUAGAUUGAUUUUUUUUAUUAUUAUUAUUUCAUCCUCCGACAUUUUAUUAUUAUUAUUUCAUCCUCCGACAUUUAAUUAGACGGGUGUUUAACUUCUUGGUUGAGUCCGGAUCUAAAUUUAACAGUUUGUGAGUUUAAUAAAUUAACCUCGGUUUCUAAGUUGACACGGGUUUCUUUGGUUGUUUUUUUCCUCUUUUUUUAGCUUAUUUUUCUCAUCCUCUAGCAUUUUGUUAUUUUUAACUCACUUUCUAUUGUAUUUUUAAGUCGUUUCGAAAAUAACAUGGGUUGUCUUGUUUUUUUUUCUUUGUUGAAUUUAGUUUUUAUAAAGGAAUUUUGUUUUUAAAUUGAUUGAUUUCAUCCUCCAACAUUUAAUUUUUUAGGUGUUGAGCUCUUGGGUUGAGACCUAGUCAGAAUUUAACGAAUUGCGGAUUUGAGAGUUUAGCCUGAGUUCACAAGAUUUACUCCGGCUUACUUGGUUUUUUUUCCUUUUUUAAGCUUUUUUGUUUAAUAUUUCAUUCUCUAACAUUCCUUUCUAACUUUAUUUCUAUAGGAUUUAUCUUUUCUUUUAAAAUAACUCGAGUUUACAAAGUUUACUCGAGCUUGUUUGAUUUUUUUUAAGUUUUUUUUUAUAUUACAUUCUUUAACAUUCUCUUUUUAUUUUUUUUCUAUAGGAUUUAUCUUUCCUUUUAAAAUAACAACGUCAACAUUGGGUUUUUAUUUUAUUUUAUCUUUGUUAAUAUUUUCUUCUUUAAAAGAAAUUUUGUUUUUUUAAUUAAAUUAAAUUUAUUUAUUUUAUCCUAUCAUUUAAUUUGAGGCAAUACCUGAAUGAUUUUUUUUAAUUGAUUUUUUUAAAAAUUGAUAUUCUUUGUUUUUUAGCGUUUCUUUCUAUAAAGUUAAUAUGAUAUAAUGUCUAGAAUCAUAAAUUCAACAGGUUUAUCAAGUUUGAUUAGGUCUUUAUUUUACUGUUUUUUAAUUUUUUUUUCAUAACGAAUCAAUGACCAAAAUUUUUGAUUUUUAUAAAAAAAUAAAUUUGCAUUAUCUUAAUCUUUUCUACAAUUAAAAAAUAUAAUAGUUCUACAACAAAUCACGUGCACGUAUCUAGUAACAAUAUCAAAACGAUUGAGGUGGUCAAACAGACAAACUCCGAAAAAGGGCGAUGGGCUCAACGUGGGGGUUUUUUUUUAUCUAUCUGAUCCAUACCAACAAAGCACUCAAAGAAGAAUGGCGAAUCAAUGAGGAGACGUAAUUUUGUCAUGUAAAAUGUAAAGACGAAGCAUUCUUUACAAAGUGUUUGUUUCUAUAUAUUUUAACAAUAUUUGCCUAAUUCGCAUGCCGUCAAAAACUGGGCCGGCAGGAUAAAUUAAGGACUGAAUCCUGGUUUCAUCUUCCACGAUGACGUUCUAGAAUUUCAGUCAAACACUUAAUCAGAUACCUUUCGCAAACAUCUCAUCGUGCAUAUAACUGUUUAUAACUCCCUCAUGCUUAGAUAUCCUCUCUCCCUCUCUAUAAAUAGUUGCAUUCCUAUCCUUGGAGGAUCAUCAUCUGUCUUUGCUGAAGACAUUUUUGAAAGAAUAUAUAUAUUCUCCCCCUCGUUAUUUCCGAAAUCAAAGAAUCCUUAAAGAGAUUGUGCUCCUAAAACGUUGAUUGUCAGAGGCAAGAAAAUGGCUAGCCGGUUGUGUUUCAAUAUUGGGUUCUUGAUUGUUGCAUCGGUGGGUUUGCUUCACGGUGCAUAUGCAGCUAAUACUUACACAGUUGGAGGUGGUUUGGGAUGGAUUGUUCCUCCGAACAGCACUUACUAUGAGGAAUGGGCCAGCCAGAGGACAUUUCAGAUAGGAGACUCCCUCUGUAAGCAUUUCUUGAUCUCUUUAUGAGCUUAUUAACUAAUUACGACUCUAUUUAUUGCGUGCAUGCAUGAUAUGAUACUGAUGUUGGUCCAUAUAUAUCUCGGGUAUGCCUAGUCCUAUACAUCAGGUUUGGUUCUUAAACCUGAGUUAACAUAUAGGUAUAGGUUUGGUGGAUUUGUAAUGAGGAACAACCACCUUCUACACAUAUUUUUCAAGUCGAGUCCCUUACGCACAAUUCGUUGUCCAAAUUAAGGACUCAAAAACAAGCAUGCAUGCAUGGUUUUUCCUCAAAUUAUUCCUACUCCUUUCCCGAUCAAUCAAUGAGACGUGUUUUCCUUUUCAUUUCUUUCAGUUUUCAACUCGACAACCGGAACACAUACCGCAACUCAAGUGAGUACCAAGGAGGAGUAUGAUAAUUGCACAAAGACGGGAUUGGUACUAAAGGUAGGUUUUGGAGUUCAAGUCACUUUCAAUGAAAAUGGUACGCACUACUUCCUCUGCUCUGAAGGGACACACUGUGAGCAAGGCCAGAAGAUGAUAAUCAAGAUUGGAGAUGGCAUAGCGCCAAGUUUUGCAGCUCCGUCUCUUACCGCGGCCGCCGCCUUAUCUGCUCUUUUCUUCUCCACCUUAGCCAUCUUCUUCUUAAACUAAAUCUAAAGACACCCCCCGUCAUGCAAGUUACCUUUUCUUAUCCAGUAGCUCUAGAAUUGGGUGAGCCCUUUGGCAAUAAAAAGAUGUGGGGAUAUAGAAUAAUCGAUGUGAUUCAUUUAAUUUGUUUAUGACAGUGUACCGAUUACAUUUGUUCGUU
RNAcentral lists this long non-coding RNA (5230 nucleotides) under Populus tremula. RNAcentral describes it as "long non-coding RNA (PTRE_LNC001475)". The record is from RNAcentral. Lineage: Eukaryota; Viridiplantae; Streptophyta; Magnoliopsida; Malpighiales; Salicaceae.